Molecule: ribosomal RNA, 1099 nt
Filed under: human gut metagenome
Description: bacterial LSU rRNA
Rfam family: Bacterial large subunit ribosomal RNA
Source: RNAcentral
CUGUAUGGGGAGAAGUCGUAGCGAAAGCGGCGGUGGACUAUACAGAAGUGAGAAUGCCGGAAUAAGUAGCGAGAAUUAAGUGAGAAUCUUAAUGGCCGAAAGUCUAAGGUUUUUGGAGGAAGGUUCGUCCGCUCCAAGUUAGUCGGGAGCUAAGGUGAGGCCUAACGGCGUAGCCGAUGCACAUACGGUUGAUAUUCCGUAACCAUCUGUAAUUUAAGCAAAGGGACACUUCAAAAGGGUGUGACCCGGGCGUUGGUUGACCCGGGCGUAAGGGACCGAAAUUAGAGUAGGGAAGCACACUUAGCUGAAGGCGAGAAAAGCUUUGCGUAUAGAAACAGAUGCCCGUACCGCAAACCGACACAGGUGGACAGGAAGAGAAUUCUAAGGCCAGCGGGAGAAGGGUAGUUAAGGAACUCGGCAAAUUGACUCCGUAACUUCGGAAUAAGGAGUGCUCGAAAGAGCCGCAGAGAAUAGGCCCAGGCGACUGUUUAGCAAAAACACAGGUCUCUGCCAAAUCGAAAGAUGAAGUAUAGGGGCUGACACCUGCCCGGUGCCGGAAGGUUAAGAGGAGGAGUGAGAGCUCCGAAUUGAAGCCCCGGUAAACGGCGGCCGUAACUAUAACGGUCCUAAGGUAGCGAAAUUCCUUGUCGGGUAAGUUCCGACCCGCACGAAUGGUGUAACGAUCUGGGCACUGUCUCAACUACCCACCCGGCGAAAUUGUAGUACCGGUGAAGAUGCCGGUUACCUGCGGCAAGACGGAAAGACCCCAUGGAGCUUUACUGUAGCCUGAUAUUGGGUUUCGGAAAUCUAUGUACAGGAUAGGCGGGAGACUGGGAAACAUGAGCGUCAGCUUGUGUGGAGUCGAUGUUGGGAUACCGCCCUUAGGUUUCUGGAAUUCUAACCUGCGGCCGUGAAUCCGGUCGGGGGACACUGUUAGGUGGGCAGUUUGACUGGGGCGGUCGCCUCCGAAAAGGUAACGGAGGCGCUCAAAGGUUAGCUCAGCACGGACGGAAACCGUGCCUCUGAGUGUAAACGCAAAAGCUAGCCUAACUGCGAGGGUGACGGCCCGAGCAGUAACGAAAGUUGGAGUUAGUGAUCC